AGCCGGCCUGAGAGGGUGACCGGCCACACUGGGACUGAGACACGGCCCAGACUCCUACGGGAGGCAGCAGUGGGGAAUAUUGCACAAUGGGCGAAAGCCUGAUGCAGCGACGCCGCGUGAGGGAUGACGGCCUUCGGGUUGUAAACCUCUUUCAGUAGGGAAGAAGCGAAAGUGACGGUACCUGCAGAAGAAGCGCCGGCUAACUACGUGCCAGCAGCCGCGGUAAUACGUAGGGCGCAAGCGUUAUCCGGAAUUAUUGGGCGUAAAGAGCUCGUAGGCGGUUUGUCGCGUCUGCCGUGAAAGUCCGGGGCUCAACCCCGGAUCUGCGGUGGGUACGGGCAGACUAGAGUGAUGUAGGGGAGACUGGAAUUCCUGGUGUAGCGGUGAAAUGCGCAGAUAUCAGGAGGAACACCGAUGGCGAAGGCAGGUCUCUGGGCAUUAACUGACGCUGAGGAGCGAAAGCAUGGGGAGCGAACAGGAUUAGAUACCCUGGUAGUCCAUGCCGUAAACGUUGGGCACUAGAUGUGGGGGACAUUCCACGUUUUCCGCGUCGUAGCUAACGCAUUAAGUGCCCCGCCUGGGGAAGUACGGA
This 592-nucleotide ribosomal RNA is filed under the name Arthrobacter sp. 19ISP5-14. RNAcentral describes it as "bacterial SSU rRNA". It matches the Rfam family "Bacterial small subunit ribosomal RNA", at positions 285 to 886 of the family's 1533-position model. Lineage: Bacteria; Bacillati; Actinomycetota; Actinomycetes; Micrococcales; Micrococcaceae. The record is from RNAcentral.